AUCCGUAGGGGGUGAGCGUUGUCCGGAAUGAUUGGGCGUAAAGGGCGCGUAGGCGGCCCGGUAAGUCUGGAGUGAAAGUCCUGGUUUUAAGCUGGGACUGCAUUGGAAACUGGAGGGCUCGAGUACUGGAGGGGGAGGGGGAAUUCCUGGUGGAGAGGGGAAAUGCAUAGAUAUCAGGAAGAACACCGGUGGCGAAGGCGGCUUGCUGGACAGAGACUGACGCUGAGGCUCGAAGGCGUGGGGAGCAAACAGGAUUAGAUACCCUGGUAGUCCACGCUGUAAACGAUGAAUGCUAGGUAUCGGUAUCCAUAGGGUAUCGGUGCCGCAGUUAACGCAAUAAGCAUUCCGCCUGGGGAGUACGUUCGCAAGAAUGAAACUCAAAUGAAUUGGCGGGG
This 395-nucleotide ribosomal RNA is filed under the name uncultured bacterium. RNAcentral describes it as "partial 16S ribosomal RNA". It matches the Rfam family "Bacterial small subunit ribosomal RNA", at positions 523 to 918 of the family's 1533-position model. The record is from RNAcentral.